GCUGGCACAAUGAUGAUAAGUGUUUGCCGUUUACCCAGCUGAGGGCUUCUUUGAAGAAAUUUUCUAAGACUGAGAUGCCAGU
This is a small nucleolar RNA of Dipodomys ordii (Ord's kangaroo rat), 82 nucleotides long. Ensembl annotates it as small nucleolar RNA, C/D box 87. The record is from Ensembl. Lineage: Eukaryota; Metazoa; Chordata; Mammalia; Rodentia; Heteromyidae.